This 1081-nucleotide long non-coding RNA is filed under the name Zostera marina. RNAcentral describes it as "long non-coding RNA (ZMAR_LNC004489)". Lineage: Eukaryota; Viridiplantae; Streptophyta; Magnoliopsida; Alismatales; Zosteraceae. The record is from RNAcentral.
AGUCCCUUUUGCGGGCAGUCGAUCCGGCCGUCCAUUUCCUCGGUCUCCCGCAGCCGUUCAUUGGUAUACGACGACUCCGACGAGCGAUGUGUUAUAUGAUGCCGGAUUGCAGUUCCGUGACCGCGAAGAUUGCAGUUCGCGGAUCCGAAGAUUGCAGUUCCACGAUGCCGGAUUGCAGUUCGGUUCCGCGAUGCCGAAGAUUGAGUUCCGGCACCCAUCCGCGGAACCCAUCGUGAUUCCAUUUCCGGCACCCAUCCGCCUGUUCCGAUCAUGAAGGGUACCAAGCCGAUUCCGGGGAGGCACCCACUUGUUGGCACUCCCGUGCACAAAGGUGAAAGAUCGUCGGAUUUGACGACAAAAACCAGGAGCGUGAGUGCUAGUAGAGUUCAUCCGAGAGGCUCGUGAGAGAGGAACGAUGACGGUGUUGUUGUUAUUCAACCGACUGUUUUGAAUUUGGAAUCCGGCACCUGCACGCUGAUGAAGAGAGGGAGGAGAAUGCCAUUGGAUGGAGAGAGAAGGAAGUCAGGGAUGAUCAUGAAUAAUACGUUGCGAAGUUAAAGCUUCAGUUCAUCCCACUUUUUCCGAAGUAAAAGUGUUACGACCACUAGCAAUGGAAGAAGGGAGGUACCCAAAAGCUUGUUAUCCAAUACGCACUUCUUCUUCUGCACUCCAGACAAAAUCUGGGAUAUGGUUUAUGGAUUUUCUUGAUGUUGCAUUGGAAAAGGGAAUCAACACCGACUGCAUCCAUCGCGAUUGCAGUUCCAUCCGCGGAUUUCGCUUCGAAGAUUGUUGUUCCUACGGCUCCAAAGAUUCCAGUUCCGCCGAUUUUUGAUUGGAGAUAGACAGCCGCGUCGCGGUGCUGUGGUAUCACUGGCGUGGAGUGAGCCAGACGCGGAUGGCAGCGAAAGCCGAAAUAAAAGAGAAAGGGGAAAUAUUUGAAAUAUUAAUCUUGAAAAUUAUUUACUCCUCAUCGGAAUAUUUAAAUUAAAACCCAAAAUAAAUAAGUCAUCACUCCGCAUCACAGAACCCGCAUGAUACGGGGUGGCCGUCUGUGAUGCGGAGUGUAUAUAUAUAUAUAUAU